GCCGCUAUAACUCAGAGGCUAGAGCGUUCGUCUCGUAAACCAAAGCUCACGAGUUCGAGUCUCGUUUGCGGCA
Trichonephila inaurata madagascariensis is the source of this 73-nucleotide non-coding RNA. The record is from the annotation of a GenBank genome assembly. Lineage: Eukaryota; Metazoa; Arthropoda; Arachnida; Araneae; Nephilidae.